Molecule: ribosomal RNA, 484 nt
Filed under: uncultured bacterium
Lineage: Bacteria
Description: partial 16S ribosomal RNA
Rfam family: Bacterial small subunit ribosomal RNA
Source: RNAcentral
GACGAACGCUGGCGGCGUGCUUAACACAUGCAAGUCGAACGAUGAAGCCGGAGCUUGCUCCGGUGGAUUAGUGGCGAACGGGUGAGUAACACGUGAGUAACCUGCCCUUGACUCUGGGAUAACUGCGGGAAACUGUAGCUAAUACCGGAUACGACCCUCGGCGGCAUCGCCAGGGGGUGGAAAGAACUUCGGUCAAGGAUGGACUCGCGGCCUAUCAGCUAGUUGGUGAGGUAACGGCUCACCAAGGCGACGACGGGUAGCCGGCCUGAGAGGGUGACCGGCCACACUGGGACUGGAACACGGCCCAGACUCCUACGGGAGGCAGCAGUGGGGAAUAUUGCGCAAUGGGCGAAAGCCUGACGCAGCAACGCCGCGUGAGGGAUGACGGCCUUCGGGUUGUAAACCUCUUUCAGCAGGGAAGAAGCGAAAGUGACGGUACCUGCAGAAGAAGCACCGGCUAACUACGUGCCAGCCGCCGCCGUAA